UUUGGUGGCGAUAGCGAAGAGGUCACACCCGUUCCCAUUCCGAACACGGCAGUUAAGCUCUUCAGCGCCGAUGGUAGUUGGGGGUCUCCCCCUGUGAGAGUAGGACGCCGCCAAGC
Molecule: ribosomal RNA, 116 nt
Filed under: Peribacillus simplex
Lineage: Bacteria; Bacillati; Bacillota; Bacilli; Caryophanales; Bacillaceae
Also listed under: 12 other names
Source: RNAcentral